Ribosomal RNA from Fonsecaea erecta, 1426 nucleotides. It matches the Rfam family "Bacterial small subunit ribosomal RNA". Lineage: Eukaryota; Fungi; Ascomycota; Eurotiomycetes; Chaetothyriales; Herpotrichiellaceae. The record is from Rfam.
AAUAAAUUGAGUUUGAUGAUGGCUCUGAAUGAACGCUAUCCAAAUGCUUGACACAUGCUAAUCAAACGUCUAAUUUAAUUAAUAUAUAGUUAUUAUAUAUUAAUUAAUUAUGAAGUGGUGUACAGGUGAGUAAAUUAUCUUAUAACUACCUUAAAGUAAGGAAGAAAAAAAAUCCCUUAUAAAAAAAAGAUAGAUAAAAAUUCGCUUUAAGAUGUUAAUAGAUAUUCUGGAUGAGUAAUAGAAAAAAUCUAGCUCAAAAUCUGGUAGUCGAGACUGAGAGGUCGAUCGACCACACUGGGUCUGAAAAAAGCCCAGGGCAGAAUUGUACAGCAGUGGGGAAUAUUGGUCAAUAGUCGAAAGACUGAACCAGCAACUUGGAAGAAUGGAAAAUGAAAGUCGUAUAAAGUUCUAGAUAAAAUAAAGAGAAUGACGAUUUUUUAUCUAUAAGUCUUGACCAAAUUACGUGCCAGCAGUCGCGGUAAUACGUAAAAGACAAGUGUUAUUCAUCUUUAAUUGGUAUAAAGGGUACCUAGACAGAUUACCAAGCCUUAAUAGGAACUAGUUUUCUAGAGUUUUAUGUGGGAAUAUACGAAUUACCAGAGGAGGGACAAAAUCCUAUUAUACUGGUAGGACGGGUAACGGCGAAGGCUUUAUUCUAAGUAAAAACUGACGUUGAGGGACGAAGCCUUGGGUAGCGAUAAGGAUUCGAUACCCUAGUAGUCCUUGGAGAAAAUGAUGAGUGCCAUAGGCUAGAUAAAUUUGGCCUAUAAAUGAAAGUGUAAGCACUCCACCUCAUGACUAAGGCGGAAAUGCACAAAUUGAAAUCAUUAGACCGUUUCUGAAACCAGUAGUGAAGUAUGUUAUUUAAUUCGAUGAUCCGCGAAAAACCUUACCACGCCUUGAAUAUUUUUAUACAAGUGCUGCACGGCUGUCUUCAGUUAAUGUCGUGAGAUUUUGGUUAAUUCCUUUAAUUAACGAAAACCCUAGCUUUAUUUAUAUUUAGAGUGUUUUUCUAUAAAUGGAAAUAAUAACAGGGACCAAGACAAGUCAUCAUGGCCUUAAUAGCGUGGGCUAUAGACGUGCCACAUAUACCUCUACAAAGGGAUGCAAUAUUGUAAAAUGGAGCUAAUCCCAUAAAAUUGGAUAUAACUAUUUGUGGAUUGUAGUCUGAAAUUCGACUACAUGAAUAAGGAAUUACUAGUAAUCGUGAAUCACCACGUCACGGUGAAUUUUAUCUCAGAUGGGUACUAACCACUCGUCAGGCGCUGAAAGAAGUAUGCGCAAUAAGUUUGGUUACUUAUUUAUUUUAUUUUUACUUUAAUAGUUGUAAAUUUUUAAAUUUGUAAUUUUCGUAUGCGUGACUUUUAUUGGUGUUAAGUCGAAAUAUGGUUCGUGUAAUGGAAAUUGCACGGGAUGCAUUAACAUU